This is a long non-coding RNA of Siniperca chuatsi (mandarin fish), 1735 nucleotides long. RefSeq lists it as uncharacterized. Lineage: Eukaryota; Metazoa; Chordata; Actinopteri; Centrarchiformes; Sinipercidae. The transcript has 5 exons. The record is from RefSeq and is a predicted model, not a curated record.
GUCCACCUGAUGAAUGAAAAGGAACCUGAAAGUUAACUGGAUACUGGAGGAAAAGAAAUAAGAGUAUGCUGAGCUCAAGCCCAUUUGGCCCUGCCACGUCCCCAUUAUAACUAACUCAAAGGACUUGGUUGUACAGCUGAAGUUGGUCCUUCAAAAAAAGAGUAGAGCUGUCCCUAACUGGCAUGACUAACUGGGUCACGGAAAACAGUAAAGUGAAAUUACCAGUGACACCCAAACCAAGAUACAAAAUAAAACAUUAAGUACUGUACAGAGAAUAAACCAGAGUGCCUACAAUAAUAUGUAAUAAAAUGGGGAAACUUCAAGCAGUAUUUAAUUAAAUCAAUAAAAACAGUGACAGGAAACCCCAAACCACACCUUUUUUUGUAAAUUAAUGAAUUAUAAUCAUAUAAUCAUAUAAUUAGAAAUAGUACCAUUUACCCCUGAGUUUAUUGGUGAGUAACCAUUAUUUGAACAUGUAAAUAAUGAAACCUUAAAGGAAGUUCUUGCGCUUCAAAUGGCCCAAUUGAACCAAACCACAUUCAUCAUAAAGCCAAUUUAAGGAGAAUACAAUGAAAGCAAGAAAGAAGCGCACAGCUUUUGUCACUACAUUGUGGUCCAUGAUGUGAUCUUUAGUCAAUAAAGAUCUACAAAUUUGGCGGUCACUGUACUUUGUACUGUACUUUGUCCAUAAAACAAAUACCAACAGAAUAGCCACUAGGGGAUCAGCAAAUGGCAACUGCAGGGUGGCACAGCACAAAACUAGUUUCGGUCAGUCAUCUUUUUCAAUAAAAGGAAUACAUUUUUGGAAUGCCCUACCAAUGGAAAUAAAAGCACAACCUGAUGAAGCCGGCCUUACAGGGAUGCCGUGGCGCUCUCUAAUCCCUGAGCGGAGUAAGCAGGACACCACACAGCAGACGUCCAGGAGUGGCAUGCAGCAGCACCAGCCAUGGUGGGCAGCUGUCUGACACUGCAUGCAGGGGAAGCACCAAAGACCGCAGCAACCUUAAGAGCAGAAGAGAAGAGAAAAAAGAAGAAUAUAUGACUUUGCUAAGACAUAACAUUAAGUAGCAUGCUGGACACAAGGGAGGAAGAAGCAGAGGCAGUUGGAGGAACGGCGGAGUUUUUUAUGCCAACAAGUACUCUGGGAAACCAGUGAUCUGCAGUCCACUUCUAAAUGUCAAGAUUUCAAAGUGCCCAUAUCACUGCAGCAAUCACAGAGGCCAGUGCUCCAUGUCCCAGGGUUUCGGGUGGUUUGGGUCACUGUCACCAUCUGGGUUGGCUGCUGUUGGACGGCCAUGCCUGAAGGAUACUGUUGGACGGCCAUGCCUGAAGGAUACGGUUGGACGGCCAUGCCUGAAGGAUACGGUUGGACGGCCAUGCCUGAAGGAUACGGUUGGACGGCCAUGCCUGAAGGAUACUGUUGGACGGCCAUGCCUGAAGGAUACAAGACAGAAAUGGAGACACUAGAUAGGGGAACAGGGGACUGCUCCAUACACAGGAAUCACUGGACUAUGAUCAAGGCUUUUCAAUGCUUCGUUAAGCCAGGAAGAAGGCCACAGACUGGUUUGAAGCUAUACUGUCCACAGCGUUGCUACUGUAACGUGUAUCUCAGGGUGUUUUCUGGUUAAUGUAAGCUACAACAAAGACCAAGUGUUGUACACAUGCAACUAGCUAUACCUAUGUGUUCAUGAAUAUUUUUUGAGCAACCAUAUUAAAGAAAAAACUUAAAACAGAA